This 192-nucleotide unclassified non-coding RNA is filed under the name uncultured Ascomycota. RNAcentral describes it as "sequence contains ITS1". Lineage: Eukaryota; Fungi; Ascomycota. The record is from RNAcentral.
CAGAGUUGCAAAACUCCCACAAACCAUCGCGAAUCUUACCCGUACGGUUGCCUCGGCGCUGGCGGUCCGGAAGGCCCUCCUCGGGCCUCCCCGGAUCCUCGGGUCUCCCGCUCGCGGGAGGCUGCCCGCCGGAGUGCCGAAACCAAACUCUUGAUAUUUUAUGUCUCUCUGAGUAAACUUUUAAAUAAGUCA